AACGAACGCUGGCGGCAGGCUUAACACAUGCAAGUCGAACGCCCCGCAAGGGGAGUGGCAGACGGGUGAGUAACGCGUGGGAAUCUACCCAUCCCUAGGGGAUAACACAGAGAAAUUUGUGCUAAUACCCUAUACGUCCUCCGGGAGAAAGAUUUAUCGGGGAUGGAUGAGCCCGCGUUGGAUUAGCUAGUUGGUGGGGUAAUGGCCUACCAAGGCGACGAUCCAUAGCUGGUCUGAGAGGAUGACCAGCCUCACUGGGACUGAGACACGGCCCAGACUCCUACGGGAGGCAGCAGUGGGGAAUAUUGGACAAUGGGCGCAAGCCUGAUCCAGCCAUGCCGCGUGAGUGAUGACGGCCUUAGGGUUGUAAAGCUCUUUCACCCACGACGAUAAUGACGGUAGUGGGAGAAGAAGCCCCGGCUAACUUCGUGCCAGCCGCCGCGGUAA
Molecule: ribosomal RNA, 447 nt
Filed under: uncultured bacterium
Lineage: Bacteria
Description: partial 16S ribosomal RNA
Rfam family: Bacterial small subunit ribosomal RNA
Source: RNAcentral